GUGGAUUUUUGAAUGAUCCGACAUGAGUAUAACAAUAUUUUUGAAGAGUUCGAGUAAUGUAGAACAGUAGCAAACAAUAAUUUCAACAGGCUUCUAACAUCUGUAUUUGCUAGGUAAUCCUUGCAUAAUAAACUAUCUUUUCCUUUCUACUGAACUACUCCUAUUAUCUAAGUGAACAGCAUUGCAAUUCUUAUUCCUUGCAGCACAUUUUCUUAUUGCACCCCACUUAGCUUAGCCCAUUCCACAAACUGCAUACCUCCAUAAAUAUUGUUAGCGAAUCGUACACCCACGGUGAAGGCCAAGGCAACAGGGGGAACGCGUUUGGCCACAGGCGAUGCUUCAACUAAACGCUCUAAUCCGUUUAUAAUUUGGUAUCGGGUAUUCGAAGAGACUGCCAGAAAGAAUCCCCAAAGUGCAGCACUUCCUAUUAAAGGAGGGACAGGUAUGUCCUCUUCUGACUUCUUGAUGCUCCUCUUAGCAGUCAUUAUCAAAUUUGCAAUGCCCUGACCAACAAGGCCGCACCCAAAUCCAACUGAGCCAUACAAAAAUCCCUUGUAAAAGAACGUUGAAAUACGCUGCUGCAAUGUAAAUUUACACCCCGGCCUCUCAGCUUCAAAAACACUGCUGGGAAGAGCUCCACAAGCAUGUCGAAAGCGUCCAAAAGAGCUGCUUGAAACAGACUGCUUGCCUAUUCGGACAUAAGGAGCCAACAUACCUACCAAUGCAAUGUCAACAACAAUUCCAACAAGAAGAUCUGCCGCAUACAACUCAAACUCUGCCCAGAAAUCCUUUCCCCUUUUCUGAACCUCUGCAAAUGUUGCACAACAGGAGUCGAUGACAAUCUCUGUUCCGACUUUAAACAAAAACGACGGAUCAGCAAGCAUUCGAUUUCUCAGCAUUGAGCAAUGUCUCAUUAAGAAUCCUAGCGGCCAAGCUGAACCCUGCAUAUCCAAGUAACGACUAAGAAUCAAUCUCCGAAUCCCUGUAGUUUUAGCAGCUUCCAACAUAUCAAUAGGCAAUUUCGCCCCCAAUUUUUCAGCCUCUUUAACCACCUCAUCAAACUUCACUAUCGGCCCAAACUCUUUUUCAUCAUAAUCACCACCGCCGUCACCGUCAUCUCCGCCGCCGUUGUUGUCAGAUGGAAACCCACCUUUUCCGUUACCCCCAUCACCUCCGUCAACAGUUCUAACGAUGGAUUCUUGUCCAGUACAUGUAAUUCUGAAAAAUCGAUCAGUUUUCAUAAUCGAUUGUUGUAAAGAUACAAACUUUGAGAGAUUUAAGCCUUUGAAUUGUGGAAUUUGGGUUGUGUUUGAAGAAAUCGAAAGAUUUGAUAUAUGAGAAAGUGAU
This 1347-nucleotide unclassified non-coding RNA is filed under the name Hevea brasiliensis (rubber tree). The record is from RNAcentral. Lineage: Eukaryota; Viridiplantae; Streptophyta; Magnoliopsida; Malpighiales; Euphorbiaceae.